GAAACCAUAAAAUCCCUGCCAAGAAAAGCGAGUAUAGCAGCCAGUACCGGAAUCCGACACAGGUAGACGGGAUGAGUAUUCUAACGCGCUCGGGUGAGCCGUGGAGAAGGAACUAGGCAAAUUAACGCUGUAACUUCGGGAUAAAGCGUACCAUAGCGAUAUGGUCACAGUAAAAUGGUUCAACCAACUGUUUAACAAAAACACAGGG
RNAcentral lists this ribosomal RNA (208 nucleotides) under Paraphysomonas vestita. Its description in RNAcentral is "partial Bacterial large subunit ribosomal RNA". It matches the Rfam family "Bacterial large subunit ribosomal RNA", at positions 1590 to 1820 of the family's 2925-position model. The record is from RNAcentral. Lineage: Eukaryota; Chrysophyceae; Chromulinales; Paraphysomonadaceae.